AAUUAUAAAGACUUAAACACUUGUUUACGCUACAACGUUUCGAUCGACGGUCUGCGGUCUGCGGAGUGCGGGGUGGGGAACGAGCCCAGCGACGCAGGCGGCGGCCACGGCGAGAC
Long non-coding RNA from Melitaea cinxia (Glanville fritillary), 116 nucleotides. RefSeq lists it as uncharacterized. Lineage: Eukaryota; Metazoa; Arthropoda; Insecta; Lepidoptera; Nymphalidae. The transcript has 3 exons. The record is from RefSeq and is a predicted model, not a curated record.